GGAUGUGAGGGCGAUCUGGCUGCGACAUCUGUCACCCCAUUGAUCGCCAGGGUUGAUUCGGCUGAUCUGGCUGGCUAGGCGGGUGUCCCCCUCCUCCCUCACCCAUCCAUGUGCGUCCCUCCCAAAGCUGCGAGCUCGGUCGAAGAGGACGACCUUCCCCCCCAGGAGAGGACCGGUCUUCGGUCAAGGGUAUACGAGUAGCUGCGCUCCCCUGCUAGAACCUCCAAACAAGCUCUCAAGGUCCAAAUAUGUAUCUGACGCAGCUCAACUAUACUGUGUGGGAAAGCACAAUAUGUCAUCACUUCCAGAGCAAUCAGGGAAGUAGGAGUUCU
Unclassified non-coding RNA from Myotis lucifugus (little brown bat), 332 nucleotides. Its record names the gene 7SK. It matches the Rfam family "7SK RNA". Rfam says of the family: 7SK was discovered as an abundant small nuclear RNA in the mid-70s but a possible function has only recently been suggested. NCBI's taxonomy places the organism in Eukaryota, Metazoa, Chordata, Mammalia, Chiroptera, Vespertilionidae. The record is from Ensembl.